GUCGAACGGACAGGUAAUGAAACCUAGUGAUUUAUCUGUUAGUGGCGGCCUUGUGAGUAACGCGUGGGUAACCUGCCGUAUACAGGGGGAUAACACUUAGAAAUAGGUGCUAAAACCGCAUAAGCGCACAGGAUCGCAUGGUCCGGUGUGAAAAACUCCGGUGGUAUACGAUGGACCCGCGUCUGAUUAGCUUGUUGGCGGGGUAGAGGCCCACCAAGGCGACGAUCAGUAGCCGGCCUGAGAGGGUGAACGGCCACAUUGGGACUGAGACACGGCCCAAACUCCUACGGGAGGCAGCAGUGGGGAAUAUUGCACAAUGGGGGAAACCCUGAUGCAGCGACGCCGCGUGAGUGAAGAAGUAUUUCGGUAUGUAAAGCUCUAUCAGCAGGAAAGAAAAUGACGGUACCUGACUAAGAAGCCCCGGCUAACUACGUGCCAGCAGCCGCGGUAAUACGUAGGGGGCAAGCGUUAUCCGGAUUUACUGGGUGUAAAGGGAGCGUAGACGGUGAAGCAAGUCUGAAGUGAAAGGCGGGGGCUCAACCCCCGGACUGCUUUGGAAACUGUUUGACUGGAGUGCAGGAGAGGUAAGUGGAAUUCCUAGUGUAGCGGUGAAAUGCGUAGAUAUUAGGAGGAACACCAGUGGCGAAGGCGGCCUGCUGGACUGUAACUGACGUUGAGGCUCGAAGGCGUGGGGAGCAAACAGGAUUAGAUACCCUGGUAGUCCACGCGGUAAACGAUGAUCACUAGGUGUCGGAGGGUAGAGACCCUUCGGUGCCGCCGCAAACGCAGUAAGUGAUCCACCUGGGGAGUACGUUCGCAAGAAUGAAACUCAAAGGAAUUGACGGG
Molecule: ribosomal RNA, 846 nt
Filed under: uncultured bacterium
Lineage: Bacteria
Description: bacterial SSU rRNA
Rfam family: Bacterial small subunit ribosomal RNA
Source: RNAcentral